AAUUGUUAUUUACAGGUAAGGUUAAUUCUGUUACUGWAAGUGAGUUAAUGUGAAUUGGUCUUUUUGCCUUUUUUUAGGAUCAUGAUGUACUGAUGAAACUCAAUGAUAAUUGGAGGAAAGUUCAGAAGCUUUUCCCUUUUCAGCCUAAUGAUCUGAUUUCUCCAGCGACGUCGAGAAAGAUAAAGAAGCAAAAACAAAAUGCUAAAGAUUUUAUGAUCUCUGCAAGGCAGGCUCUCCCCUCAGUUCACACAUUCACAACUCUCAGUGACAGUGAUGAGAGGUCUGCCAUGGAUCAGAGGUAUCUCCAACACAAACAGAAACGGAGGAUUUCUGCAGAACCAUUAUGAAGGUAUACAAGCUCUCCUGUCCUUUCUAGAGAUGUAUACAGCGGCACUGGGUUUGAUGAUAAGGUGGGUGCUCGAGUGACCUUCCUGGCUCCUUGCGGCUCGGUGUUGCGCUCAUGCAGCAUUCCCAUUCCCUGCUGAUCCUAGAAGCAUCGAAGGACAGCACUGUGACACUGAAUUAGCCCUGCCAUCUGCGGAGUGCAAUAUCCUGCCCCUCACUGUGGGUCAUUCUGUGAAUCUCGGACAAAGACGCCGGAAUCUUGAAGUGAGAAAAAAUGAGAUAAUCUGUAUCACCUGCUAAGCAGGUCUCACUCUGAAGUUACAGCAAAAUGUUUAAUAUCCAUUCUCAGAUCUAUUUAUUUUUAUACUAUUGGUAUACUGGAACUUUGGUUUUUCUGUGUAGUCUUCUGUACAAACUUACUCUGGUUUGCAGGCAAAACACAAUUCAACAACUGAAAAAUCCAGAAAAGAAUGUACUUUGACAUCUGCGUAACUACCAACCUCAUUUGGAGCAAUUCAGUAUGUCUAUACUUUUGAAUAGUGAUGUACCAGCAGCACCCACUCAUCUGCUACAUGCUUUUCUUUGACUUUCAAAAGUCCUAUCGAUAAAGUCAAAAGCUUUUUCUUGUGAAGACCGUAAUAACAUUGUUUUCACUAAGGUAAAGGCAGCGUCACAGUAAAGUAAAUUCACUAAAGAAAAUAAAAAGAUGGGCACAGAGAAGAGAAAAGAAAGA
Molecule: long non-coding RNA, 1078 nt
Filed under: Dromaius novaehollandiae (emu)
Lineage: Eukaryota; Metazoa; Chordata; Aves; Casuariiformes; Dromaiidae
Description: lncRNA (ENSDNVG00000013931.1)
Source: RNAcentral